Molecule: small nuclear RNA, 124 nt
Organism: Nycticebus coucang (slow loris)
Lineage: Eukaryota; Metazoa; Chordata; Mammalia; Primates; Lorisidae
Product: U4atac minor spliceosomal RNA
Exons: 1
Source: RefSeq, a predicted model, not a curated record
ACUGUCGUUCUCUUGGGGUUGCACUACUGUCCACUGAGCACAUAGUGAGGGCAGUACUGCUAACACCUACACAACACACGCAUCAAUUAAAGCUUUGCUGUAUAUUGGUGCAAUUUUUGGACAA